Molecule: non-coding RNA, 70 nt
Organism: Pelobates cultripes (western spadefoot toad)
Lineage: Eukaryota; Metazoa; Chordata; Amphibia; Anura; Pelobatidae
Source: the annotation of a GenBank genome assembly
CCAGGGCAUACCAGCCACUAUAACCACUACAGUGUGUUGUAGUGGUUAUGGUGCUUGGAGUGUGCCUUUA